AGGAAGUCUCUCCCUACAAAGACCUAUACUGAUGUUCAGAGCAGCUUUAUUUGUUUUGGGUUUUUUUUUGGUACCUGGGAUCGAACUUGGCUCCUUGAGCUUGCAAAGCAGGUGACGAAACCACUGAGCUAAAUCCCUGGCCCCCAGAGCAGCUUUAUUUGUGAUAGCCCCAAAUUAGCAACAAUGCAAAUGUCAUUCAGCAAAUCAACACAUGAAAAAAGACAUUGAGGAAUAUCCAUACAAUGGAACAAAGGAUAUACACAAUAACACAAAAUAACAUGGAAGCAACUAUGCUGCGUGAAAGAAACUAGAUUAAAAAAGUACUAACUAUGAUUCUAUUUCUGUAAAACUCUAGAAAAUGCAGACUAAUCUACAGAAUCUGAAGGAAGAUCAGUGUUUGCUUGAGGGUAGUGAAGGGCUGGAGAGAGGAUUUCCGGGACACAUGUGGAGACCUUGCCUGUGAUGGAUAUGUUCCCUCUCCCAAAUACAGUGAUGGCUUCAUGGGUCACUUGCCUCCUUGGACCUCAGUUUCUGCACCUGUAUUUCCUCGGGCCUCUCUGCUUGGAACUGGAGCUGGAAUUCCUCUCCAUGGACCUGAAGUGUUCAAUCCUCUAUGGAACCUCAGCUCUCUGCAGCAGGUAGUGAACUAACCACAUUCCUUCUAAACUGCAGGAACUAAGCAGUAUGGUUCCUGUGGGACUGGGACUCAGCAUUCGUGUUCCCCUGUGGAGGUUACCGAAGAAGUUCUUCAUGGAUGUAGGUUAUGUUUAGGAUGAGAAGAGCUAAUGCCUUUGGGGGUGGGCCAGUCCCCCCCCACAAAUACCUGUUUUUACUAAGUACUCACAGUGUCCUGGGAGCUCUGCUAAGCUUUAAAUACAUUUUAAUUUCAUCUCCCAACGGUCUCAUGAGUAAGUAUUAAAGUUAUCUCCAAUAUAUAGAUUCGCUAAAAAAUGUAUGCAAACUUCAGGAAAAGAAAAACUUGUACAAGUAUUUUAAUACUAAAUUUAUUGGGACAUCAAAGUUAGCUUUGGCCUCUACAAUUAGAAGAGGGUGCUCAAAGUUCAUUAGCUUGCAGACAUUUAUUAUUUUUCUUUUCCUGAAAUGUGUAUAUUUUGGGGAUGGGGUGGACUCUGUAUAUACUGGGCAUAUCUUUGGCUGCAAGUAAAAGAUUCCCUUCUUUCAAUCAGGACAUUUAACUAUAUCACACAAUCAGUUCUACAUGUUGCAACAGCUCAAGGGAAUCAUCUAUGACUAGAUCUUUUCUGUUCAACAACCCUUGUCUGUUAUUGCCAAUUGCAAAUGACCCAUCAAGAGCUGGUGUCUGUUUUCCCACCUCUAGAAUUUGGAUUCCCCAUGUGAAUGUUGAUCAGUAGAAUGCAAGGGAAAUGAGAAUGAGAGAGCACUAAGCCCAGGUCUCAGGACACCUUGACCUUUCACUCCUGUGCUCUUGAAAUGCUGUUGCAUGUAAGCAAGCCUGAGCUAACCUCUACUUAUGGGGAGAGAGACUUGGCCUUCCCAUGGGGUGAGAAAUACAUAAAAAUUAUCCCAGCAAUUCUUGUGGAGCAGAUGAGCCAACCCAGCUGAUCCCAGCUCAAAUUUCUGACCUGCAGUAUCCUGAACAAUAUGUGAUUAUUUUAAGCCAUUGUGUUUUGGAUGUUUUGUCAGUCAAUAAAAUCUAACUGAUACAGCUAUGUUGGCUAUUUGUCCUUCGGUUUGUCAUCUGUCUUAUGGUUGUAAAAUAGCUAGUAUAGUUUCAUAAAACUGCCAAGGCAGUGAAAAUGGAACAGAUCAAAAUAGAACUAUUUUCUCACAAUGCUCUUCUUUUUAUCAGAAAUGAAAAUCUUUUUCUUUCUGUUUAAAUUUUCAUAUUUUAUUCCUUGUAUCAAUAGAUUAAGAAAUUAAAAUUUUCC
This is a long non-coding RNA of Heterocephalus glaber (naked mole-rat), 1910 nucleotides long. Lineage: Eukaryota; Metazoa; Chordata; Mammalia; Rodentia; Bathyergidae. The record is from Ensembl.